This 474-nucleotide ribosomal RNA is filed under the name uncultured bacterium. RNAcentral describes it as "bacterial SSU rRNA". It matches the Rfam family "Bacterial small subunit ribosomal RNA", at positions 26 to 518 of the family's 1533-position model. The record is from RNAcentral.
AGGACGAACGCUGGCGGCGUGCCUAACACAUGCAAGUCGAGCGAGGAGAUCCUCGGGAUGAUCCUAGCGGCGGACGGGUGAGUAACACGUGGGCAACCUGCCUCAUAGAGAGGAAUAGCCUUCCGAAAGGGAGAUUAAUACCUCAUAACAUUGCAGUUUCGCAUGGAACAGCAAUUAAAGGAGUAAUCCGCUAUGAGAUGGGCCCGCGGCGCAUUAGCUAGUUGGUGAGGUAAUGGCUCACCAAGGCGACGAUGCGUAGCCGACCUGAGAGGGUGAUCGGCCACAUUGGGACUGAGACACGGCCCAGACUCCUACGGGAGGCAGCAGUGGGGAAUAUUGCACAAUGGGGGAAACCCUGAUGCAGCCAACGCCGCGUGAGUGAUGACGGCCUUCGGGUUGUAAAGCUCUGUCUUCAGGGACGAUAAUGACGGUACCUGAGGAGGAAGCCACGGCUAACUACGUGCCAGCAGCAGC